AGGUCUGUAGCUCUAACGGCAAGAGCGCCGGACUCCAAAUCCGGAGGAUGGGGGUUCGAAUCCCUCCAGACCUGCCA
Molecule: transfer RNA, 77 nt
Filed under: Planctomycetes bacterium DG_23
Lineage: Bacteria; Pseudomonadati; Planctomycetota
Also listed under: 1 other name
Description: tRNA-Trp
Rfam family: tRNA
About the family: Transfer RNA (tRNA) molecules are approximately 80 nucleotides in length. Their secondary structure includes four short double-helical elements and three loops (D, anti-codon, and T loops).
Source: RNAcentral